Molecule: ribosomal RNA, 250 nt
Filed under: uncultured Silanimonas sp.
Lineage: Bacteria; Pseudomonadati; Pseudomonadota; Gammaproteobacteria; Lysobacterales; Lysobacteraceae
Description: partial 16S ribosomal RNA
Rfam family: Bacterial small subunit ribosomal RNA
Source: RNAcentral
UACGAAGGGUGCAAGCGUUACUCGGAAUUACUGGGCGUAAAGCGUGCGUAGGCGGUUCGUUAAGUCUGAUGUGAAAUCCCCGGGCUCAACCUGGGACGUGCAUUGGAAACUGGCGAUCUAGAGUACGGUAGAGGGUGGUGGAAUUCCCGGUGUAGCAGUGAAAUGCGUAGAGAUCGGGAGGAACACUCGUGGCGAAGGCGGCCACCUGGACCAGUACUGACGCUGAGGCACGAAAGCGUGGGGAGCAAAC